GUGAGGUAACGGCUCACCAAGGCCACGAUCCGUAGCUGGUCUGAGAGGAUGAUCAGCCACAUCGGGACUGAGACACGGCCCGAACUCCUACGGGAGGCAGCAGUGGGGAAUAUUGGACAAUGGGGGGAACCCUGAUCCAGCCAUGCCGCGUGUGUGAAGAAGGCCCUCGGGUUGUAAAGCACUUUCAGCGAGGAAGAACGCCUAGCGGUUAAUACCCGCUAGGAAAGACAUCACUCGCAGAAGAAGCACCGGCUAACUCCGUGCCAGCAGCCGCGGUAAUACGGAGGGUGCAAGCGUUAAUCGGAAUUACUGGGCGUAAAGCGCGCGUAGGUGGCUUGAUAAGCCGGUUGUGAAAGCCCCGGGCUCAACCUGGGAACGGCAUCCGGAACUGUCAAGCUAGAGUGCAGGAGAGGAAGGUAGAAUUCCCGGUGUAGCGGUGAAAUGCGUAGAGAUCGGGAGGAAUACCAGUGGCGAAGGCGGCCUUCUGGACUGACACUGACACUGAGGUGCGAAAGCGUGGGUAGCAAACAGGAUUAGAUACCCUGGUAGUCCACGCCGUAAACGAUGUCGACCAGCCGUUGGGUGCCUAGCGCACUUUGUGGCGAAGUUAACGCGAUAAGUCGACCGCCUGGGGAGUACGGCCGCAAGGUUAAAACUCAAAUGAAUUGACGGGGGCCCGCACAAGCGGUGGAGCAUGUGGUUUAAUUCGAUGCAACGCGAAGAACCUUACCUACUCUUGA
This 740-nucleotide ribosomal RNA is filed under the name Vreelandella aquamarina. RNAcentral's name for it is "bacterial SSU rRNA". It matches the Rfam family "Bacterial small subunit ribosomal RNA", at positions 252 to 984 of the family's 1533-position model. Lineage: Bacteria; Pseudomonadati; Pseudomonadota; Gammaproteobacteria; Oceanospirillales; Halomonadaceae. The record is from RNAcentral.